AUUUAAGUCUACGGAUUAACUCCUACGGCAAUGAAUUCAUUUCUCCUCUACUAUCAAGAUUCAUUGAAUGCCCUACCAAUUCAAGGACUAUAUAUGUGUUGUAUCGAUGUCUAGCAAAUUCUCAAACCUUCUUAUAAUCAAAAACUGAUAAAACCUAGAAACACCGCUUCCACCUAUGGCGAGUACUAAGCUCCAAUUCUUUUGAUUUGAAGGCAGAUCGUUGAAAGGAGAUAGUUGUGACACGUCUUCUUCGUUUUUUGUAGGCAAGGAAUAUGAAGAGUUUAUGGGUUUGGACAUGGUUUUUUCGAUGAGAAGGCUGUAGGCACUAAUAUUUUCAGACAACGUUGGUCCAAGGUUUAUUGGGGAUCAUAGACUCAACACUUUCAAGCGCCUGCUGAGUUGUUGAGGGAAGAGAGAAUCUACUACUAAUACUGACGUGGAUUUGCAGGCGGCUGUUACACAUGUCUUAUGCGGAUGUUUUAGGUGUUGUUUGUGGCAUCAAGGUCACCUUUAACAAUGAAACUCAGAGAAUACAACGUGUUAUGAUUACAAUCUGAGUUGAAAAGUAGGAGCAAAAAGUGGAAUCUUUGGAUGAUUAGGGCGACACCAGUAGCUUAUGGUCCUGGAAUAGUGCACCUGUGAGCUUAGAAGAACUUGGACGGCCGAGUGAUGCUCCUGAAGCAAAAAAGGCUGAGAAGAAGAGCAAAUCUUAAAGAUGGCUCUUAGCACUGCAACAGUCACGUUAGAGAACCAAGCUGCUGAAUCCAAAGUGAUACCAAAGGAUGACGUCAAGUGGAUACGAAGGAGGAGGUCGUGAGAUAUAGAAGAGGCUCACCAACAUUGUAGCCAAGAGAUGUACACAAAAAGUUCUAUUGAGUCUAGCCCAUCAUCUACUUCAGACUUCUUCCCUAAAGCAAGAUAAUUUUAAAGUGUUUAAUGUGUUACCCUUUUUUUUUUUUGCAACCACCUAUGAACUAACAGUAUUUUGUCUCUGAACCCAGGGUGGCAACUGUGGCCCUCGCAAUGAUAUAUGUCUGGAGCGACUCACUUACCACCAAUGUUUGUGUCGGUCCUACUGAUAAUGAGAAUGAACCAGCUGGUGAAACACUGCAGGUGAUGCAUCGGUCACGAACUUGCUGAUCCCGACGAGUUUUAAAGCAACUAAGAAGCACAGAGGAUACAGUCUUCAGCCACAUCGUCGGCUCCUAGAAUAAUGCUUAAGCAUAGUUGUUGGCAUGUUCUAGAGCAUUACCAAUAGAUGCAUAUUGAGAACCUUUUACGAAUUCUAGAAAAUUCCUAAUUUGUUUCUCUACUCCCUUCUCCAUUUUUAAAAUUGUUUCUAAAACAACCGAGAUAUGUUUCUACUCUGACAUACAAACAAUAUUGCAACAUUAUAUUUUUUUUUCUACA
This is a long non-coding RNA of Brassica napus (rape), 1410 nucleotides long. RefSeq lists it as uncharacterized. Lineage: Eukaryota; Viridiplantae; Streptophyta; Magnoliopsida; Brassicales; Brassicaceae. The transcript is spliced from 5 exons. The record is from RefSeq and is a predicted model, not a curated record.